GCUGGAUUUGCUCAUGUUGGCUUGAGCACCUACCUAGUAAGUAGGAGUACGUCGGUUCGAUUCCGACAUCCAGCCCCA
Molecule: transfer RNA, 78 nt
Filed under: Mycobacterium phage Rey
Lineage: Duplodnaviria; Heunggongvirae; Uroviricota; Caudoviricetes; Vilmaviridae
Also listed under: 4 other names
Description: tRNA-Thr
Rfam family: tRNA
About the family: Transfer RNA (tRNA) molecules are approximately 80 nucleotides in length.
Source: RNAcentral